This 681-nucleotide ribosomal RNA is filed under the name uncultured bacterium. Its description in RNAcentral is "bacterial SSU rRNA". It matches the Rfam family "Bacterial small subunit ribosomal RNA", at positions 223 to 916 of the family's 1533-position model. The record is from RNAcentral.
GGAGCGGCCGAUGUCAGAUUAGCUAGUUGGUGGGGUAAAGGCCUACCAAGCCGACGACGGGUAGCUGGUCUGAGAGGACGAUCAGCCGGAUUGGGACUGAGAUACGGCCCAGACUCCUACGGGGGGCAGCAAUUAGGAAUCUUGCACAAUGGGGGAAACCCUGAUGCAGCGACGCCGCGUGAAGGAUGAAGCAUUUCGGUGUGUAAACUUCUUUUGACAGGGAAGAAACAAAUGACGGUACCUGUCGAAUAAGCCCCGGCUAACUACGUGCCAGCAGCCGCGGUAAUACGUAGGGGGCGAGCGUUGUCCGAAUUUACUGGGCGUAAAGCGCGCGUAGGCGGUUUCUUAAGUCUGGGGUGAAAGGUUCAACGCUCAACGUGAACAGUGCCUUGGAUACUGGGAGACUUGAGUCUGGGAGGGGGCAGUGGAAUUCCUGGUGUAGCGGUGAAAUGCGUAGAUAUCAGGAGGAACACCGGUGGCGAAGGCGGCUGCCUGGCCUAAGACUGACGCUGAGGUGCGAAAGCGUGGGUAGCGAACGGGAUUAGAUACCCCGGUAGUCCACGCCGUAAACGAUGAGUGCUAGGUGUAGGGGGUAUCGACCCCCCCUGUGCCGUCGCCAACGCAUUAAGCACUCCGCCUGGGGAGUACGGCCGCAAGGUUGAAACUUAAAUGAAUUGACGG